AAGCGCGCGCCACACUUCCUCCAACAUCCCCUUCAAAAGCUCCAUUGUUCACUAGGCAUCUGCUCCAGAGCCCGGCCUCUCCCUACCCACUGACCCCAGAUUUUUUUUUUUUUAUUUCCCCCUCCCCCUCCCACUCUGCCGGGCCAAACGGGCCUGCCUGGUGAAUUAAAACGCAGCCUCAGCCAUCUGGUCCUCCCAAGCUAGUCCGGCUUUCCCCCACCCCUCCUCCCUGGUCCACACACCACGCAAGGCAUCUUCACCUCCAUGGAUAUUCCCACAACCCAAGCGCAAACCUCGGUGGAAGGGCGCCUCUGCCGCCGCCUGGCUGGCCCCGGCUUCCUCCAGAUGAGGAGUAUUCGAAUCCAGAGUUACAAUGAAAGUGGAUAGAGAGAUUUUGAAUAUUAAUUUGAAGAAGCCACUUCCAAGAAACAGACACUUCAAGAUAAGGGUAGAAGCAGGUCCUGAAUCAAGCUGUUUCUUUAGGGCGUCUCUGUCUGAUAUUCAAAUGUACUCUUAGAAUUAUCUGGAAAACUCAGCAAUAUUAUCUCCAUUUCUCCUGAGGAAGCAUUCUUCCCCAACUCCCUCACAGCGUUGGUGAUGCUUUAUUGAGAGACCUCUGGCUUUGGAGAAGACAGUUUUAUCUACUGUUGAAUGGGCAGUUUUUGACAGCUGCUGAAUCCUGCCCCUUCCUUGCCUCAGGAAGGAGAAAACCUUCACACUGCCCAAGAGCCUUUCCCUUACCCAGGUGCACCCAACACUCAAGAAUCCAACAGACUGGAGGAGAUAAAGGGGCUACAAGUGUCCUGAGUUCUCCCACAAAAUAGAAGCUUUCAUCUGCUACUUCCGGGAGGACCUACAAACUGGAACAGCUCCCAUGACUUCCACGUGAACAGCAGACACCAGUGAAAGCAGACAUCUAUGACAGGGGAGGGAAUAUUUUCUCAGCCUCCACUUAACUAUGGGGUCAGAUGAAGCGGUAUAACAAGGGUAUGCAGGCAGGCUCUGGAGAAGAAAAAGAACAGCUCUUGCUUCUGCAGCCCAACUUCUAUCCCUAUAUUGCUGGGAAGCAGACAUCGAAGGAGACACAUGGGGUAAAGACAAGUAUUAGAGGCCACUGACUUCCCUCCUUACCUGGCAUGUCAGUUUCCUGUGCCCACAUGGUCCUGGAGGGAGCCCCUGACUAAGGAAUGGCAGGAAAUGGGGCUGUGAGCUGUAUGUGAGAGACACUUGGGGAGGCUGACAGUGGCAGCUGUUGCUUUAUACAGUGUCUCCUUUGGUCUCAUCUUGCUGGAACCUGCUUCAAAACCUCUUCCCUAUGGUUCCCACCAAAAGGUGCCUUGGACUUGUGACAAACUUUUGCCUUUGGUGGCCCCGUUUAUGGGUCAAUUCUGUUUGGAAGGGCAUUUGCCCAUGAAGGGAUGGGUAAUUUGGGGUGUCCCACUGAAAAAACUCUUAUUAGGAACUUUCUUGUCCUUGUAGUUCCUGUACUUUUUUUUUUUCCCUCUCCUCCCCCCCAUCUCU
Condylura cristata (star-nosed mole) is the source of this 1521-nucleotide long non-coding RNA. RefSeq lists it as uncharacterized. The record is from RefSeq and is a predicted model, not a curated record. The transcript has 3 exons. NCBI's taxonomy places the organism in Eukaryota, Metazoa, Chordata, Mammalia, Eulipotyphla, Talpidae.